RNAcentral lists this long non-coding RNA (1300 nucleotides) under Chinchilla lanigera (long-tailed chinchilla). RNAcentral's name for it is "lncRNA (ENSCLAG00000027469.1)". Lineage: Eukaryota; Metazoa; Chordata; Mammalia; Rodentia; Chinchillidae. The record is from RNAcentral.
GUACCGGAGAAAAACAAAACAAAAAAUAAUAAUAAUAAUAAUAAGUAUGUCUUUUACCUCGUGACUCGCCUCAAGCUGCUCUCCCUCUGCUCUUCCUCAACAACCACUGGCAACUUCUGCACCAUGCCCACCAAGUGCCCCGGGACUUGCGCACCUUUAUUUGGUACCUGUGCCAUAUCUCUGCAUUUAUCAUUAGGGUAUAAUGAGGAGGACCACCAGUUCCAGUCUGGCAUUUACUACUGCCCCUGAUAAGUGAAAAUGUUAGUUAAUCAGGUAAGUGUUAGGCAAUUACUUACCCCGGUGAAUUAAUUAGAGUAACAUAUCUGUUUCCAGUGCAGGUUUUGUCAGCCAAUGACCUUGGUCCUGAGACAGUGCCAAAUGGUGCCAGGUAAGCUGUACAGGCUCUGUACACCAACUCCCUCAGACAUUCAGAUGGAUGGUCAUCACUUGAGUGAAACUCAAAACAGUCAUACUUAGUCUAUAAAAAUAGAGCGUGAAUUAAUGUCUUCUGAGCAAUCUAAUGCUACUCUUCCCAGUUUCAGUGUUCUGAAGGCUCAGUCUGACUCUUACGGCAGGUUAUUUCUUGACUUUUUUUUUUUUUUGAUAGACUACUUUGCAAAAGGCCAGUCACCUCAGCAGCUGGGGAAAGGUUUUAUUUUUAGAAAGCAGGCACACAGGAGUACACAAGGCCAACUCAGGGUCAGCCACAGGGUGUUUUGCCAAAAAGGCUGUGGGCCAGCAGGGCCGUGUGACUCAGCCCAGCCUUGUGGUCAGGAGGGUCCUGCACCAGCCCAUCAGAUCUACGCUCCUCCACAACGUCUGGACUUCGAAGAUACACUUCACUUCCCCCUUCCUCCCCGCAGUGCCUCUCAUCCCAUGGAGGAGUAGCAAGAUAUUUACCUGGAAGGCCUCAUGGGUUGGGAGAAAGAUGCAUCAGAAGAUCAUGUGCCAAGGCAGGUGGGCAGUGCUCCUACUACAAUUCACCUGGACAGAACGGACACAACAGGGCUCACGCUCAGGUUUCACCCAUGGAAAUAGACAUGAAUAGCACUGCACUGGUGAGCUGUAGUAGAUUUUUUUCUAGGUAAGAUUUGUUCAUUCAUAGUUAUCCUCUCCAAAAGCUCAGAUUCUUAAUAAAUAAAUAAGUAAUUAAAUAAAUAAAAUCUUCUGCAACGUGCUGGUAGCACAGAACUGUCAGAAUUUUUUCCCUAUUUCCUUUUCCUGGAUCUGACUGAGAAAUGACCAUUAAUUCUAAUGUACUCACAAAGUACACAAAAUCCUCUCCUGAUUUAUUAAUUCC